Long non-coding RNA from Taeniopygia guttata (zebra finch), 3606 nucleotides. Lineage: Eukaryota; Metazoa; Chordata; Aves; Passeriformes; Estrildidae. The record is from Ensembl.
GGUAUUUUUUCCCUCAAUGUGACUCUGUUUCUCCCCAGUGUUACAAAUUUUAGCAAGUCAGUAAAAUUACUCCAGGAUCCACUUAAUGACACAACAGGCUGAAACUACUUUUUUUUUUUUUUUUUUUCUGUCAUCUGCCACUCUGACCUUUCUGAUGUUUGAAUCUUGAAGUGCAGCUGCCAGAACAGACCAAGCCUGUGUGCCCACCCAGUUGGGAAGGUGAGGAAAAUGCUGGGAGCAGAGUCUAUCCCAAGCUAUAAUUGUGAUACUGCUGUUUCUUACAGUUUCUAGCAGUUGAAGUGUAGUGGGCACUCAGGACCUGUGUAAUGCUUCCCAGCUCAAUUGUGCCUCCUAAAGUGGUGACAGAGGAGAGGAGUAAAUGCCACUCAAAGAAAGAUCUCCUUUUAUUAGGCCUGACUCAGGGGAAUUAGGGGAAUCCUUACAGAGCCCGGUUCCAAACUCUUCCCUUCCUGCAUUGCCCACUGGUCAUGGCAGCAGUGCAAGCAUGGGACAGAUGUGGCAGCAAAUCCACUAGCCCUCUCUGAAGCUCAGGAGGUCACAAUUUCCCAAAGUGUGGCAUUCUGGUGUACUCUAAAACCCCUGGAAGCUGAAGGGAAGAGCCGAGUGCUUUGCUUUCUGUCUACCUAGUGAAGCUCACAGGGCAUCCCUCCACCGCUGCUGUUUGUUCAUGAAUUUGUAAUUUCUUCCAAGGCAGGGAUCUCCACCCAUCCACCCAUCCACCCAUCCACCCAUCCACCCAUCUCCUUCCCUCCCCUUCCAUCCCACCUCUCUCCAUUGUUGCUGCCUCUCCUACCACCGCUGUUUAAUGGUGCCUCAGAGCUCUGUGCUGGGACUCUGCCAGCAGAAUUUAAAUCUCGUUUUGCCACGUCUGUUUCCCUUGGGCAGAGGAAAAUACUGGGGUGUCUGUUCCCCCCAGUUUUUGCGGCCUCUUGUGCUGAGCUGGAAGCGUGAGGUCAUUUUGGUUUUGUUUAUACCUAGUGCAUUGUCAGGGACUAGGGACUGGUGUAGGACUGGUGUUGCUCAGGUCUUACAGGACCCUGAUGCAGUAAGGGCUGUUCAGGGUGUAUGUCUGGGUGUCCCAUUUAUUUCUUGCAUUUAGGGUGUGCCUUAAAGCCUCUGGAACCUAAAGAGGGCAACAGGAUGCAAAGCAAACCUUGCCCAUAAACACUUGGCUCUUCCUGCAGCUCAUCUGGAGGGUCCGUGCUUGGAGGAAUGGGGGUGUUGAAGGUCUCCAUUCCUACAGAACCACUUGGGAAGGCAAAAGAAAACUAAAUUUCCUGCUAAAUCACAAAAACCUAAAGCUGUGCACCAAAAUAGCCCCAGUGGCACAGAAGCACCAGGCAGGGAUUAGAAUUAGGGAUUUACCAGGUCACCUAACAGGCUCCUCCUUUUGAAUUGCCUGUGCCACACUGGUGCCUCUGGGUUUGCAGCAUUUCAAAGGGCCCUGGGAUGAGGGACAGUGACUUGCCAAAAGGUGAGCUGGGCUCGGGUCUGGUGCUGUUUCACAUAAUGAGGGCAAAAUUGCACAUGGGGAGAGCAUUUAGAAGGAGGUAAAAAUAAACCCACUAAAUAUUUGGUAAACCUGUAGCUGCUCAAAAUGCUGAUGGCUUGAUUAUUUGUCUUUGUCUAGUUAAAUGCUGGGGUUUUUUAAUCUUUUGCUACCAAAUGACUGAUCUCAAAGAGGCUUACAGUAAAAAAAAAUACAUAUUUAAUUUGGAAAAGUCUUGCAGGGAGGAAUGUAUUUUUGCUGGUUUGCACAAUAAAAGAGCAAACCACUUUUCAUUCUUGCCUGAUUUCAAAGACAGAAAAUUGUCAUUUUGCCAUGAAAGGCUGUUUUUGCUGACACAAUUGGUAGUUUAGCUCUGCUUUGAUUUCCUAUUCUAAAUAUGUUGCAAGAUUAUAGGGUGCAUCCCAAGAAAUAUUCAGCAAUUUUUUUCCUUUUGAAUUGCUUAAAAAUUAAGAUAAUGAUUAUGAACAUGGCAUAAGUCUAUGCAAGAUGUAUUUUGUUUCCCUCUCCUUGACACUCAGUGUGUGCACUCUUGGGAUGAUAUUUUACUAAAGGACAGCAAUUCUGGGAGGAUAUUUUGAGUGCAUCAGUAAUUAAUUCAAAACUAAACCUGAGACCAGAGUCUCAACUGGUGUAAGUCAAUGUCAUUCCAUGGAAGUCAGUAAAUCCAUGCCAGUUUGUCCAAGAUGGAGAUGUGCCCUGUGGUUAUUUUCUCCAUCUGUCCAUAGCACGGAGCUGGUUUUGCCACCACAGGUAAAAUUUAUAUGUAUACGAGGAAGAGAAGAGGGGUUCAGUCAUUUAAAAUUAUGAGGGGGCUCUAAAUUUAGAUACUUGCCCCUCCAAAACAGGCAGAGACAGCUAACUGUGAUUGAGAUCAUCUCAUGUAUUGAUGGCUAUGUAUUUCCUCAAUGGUUUCCCAGCAAUACCUUGCUCUGGAAAACAUCACCCAUUUCUGCUUCAGCUGGAGCUGGUUUGGGACAGGCUGAGCCUCUCAGUAGCUCCCCUCAAACCACCUUGCCAGUGAGCACAGGUUGUGCUGCUCAGCAUGGCCACAACAAUUUCUUUUUUAAUUGAAAAGGUGUUGCUGAGGCAGCAGGGACCACUCUGGUCUCCCUCCUCCCCAGCUGUAAGGACCUGUGACAGAAAGUGGAUGCACUACACAUUUUUUUACUUUCCCAGUUUCUCAGUGAAUCAGGAAUAAGAAUUAUUUUUACAGAUGGAAAACAUAUCUUUCUUAAAUCUUAUUUGUACCAAUGAUAAAUCUGUUUUGGUAUUUCCAGCAUGACCCUUGCAAAGGAAGAAAAGACAAGGACGUACAUCCAGUAAGGGAGAUUGGGAGCCCGAGAAAUGCUACUGGAUUAUAACAGGAAAUGUAGAGUCAAGGUAGAGGUACAGGCCCAUUGGAAAUACCUCUGUUACCAUGGCAUUAAAUUAACCUUGAGGUUUCACAAGUUCAUUACAUGCAGCUGUUUACAUUGGCUUUUUAUGAGAGGUUUUAUUCAGGGUGAAAUCCAUAACUGUACUAUUUAUACAGGCAAGGAACCCGUCGUGGUGAGGGUUGGGGUUUUUUGCCUACUUAUUGAUGGCAAAUGCUUGAAAAUGUGUUGCAGAUCGAAAAGUAAAAAAAAAUACAGCUUUUGUUUAUAUGGAGUCACUCUUGCAAAUGUCAUGUUUGCAUAUUUUGAAAUUAAAAAUCAAUACACCAUUACAUAUCAAGAAAGAAUAUUUCACAGCAUCUGUUGUAAAAAGGUUAUGGAUUUCCUCAUUAGCAGCUGGCUUGGAAUGGAGUGAGAAGGAAUGGGGCUGUUGGCAGGGCACUUUGGGGAUGUGCUGCUGAGCCUGGGGUUGGGAAGACUAAUAGCCCUCUGCUUUUGGGAGAUUGGUCACUCUCUGAGUUGGUGCCUUGUAUAUCCCUUCUCAGGCCAAAUCAGAACUGCUUGUUCUUGUUGUACUUUAUGUACCAGGUAGGGGAUUAGUAUUUUUUCUUGUAAGUAGCUACUGAUGCUAAUUUUCCAGGACAGAGCUAGAGGAAUGAGUCUUAAAUCCAUUAAAAAAAAAAAAAGAAAAAAAAAAAAAAA